Esox lucius (northern pike) is the source of this 1451-nucleotide long non-coding RNA. The record is from Ensembl. NCBI's taxonomy places the organism in Eukaryota, Metazoa, Chordata, Actinopteri, Esociformes, Esocidae.
GUAAAAUGCUACCUGUUGUUAGUGUUUUUUAGGUGAUUGUUUUGUGGGUGAAAAAGUGUGUUUGUUGUCUGUCAACCUUUGCUAGUGUUCUGGAAGAAUGAGUUGAUUUGAGACAUGUAUGAAGUGAUUUGGUAGUAUUAGUGCAUUUUGAAAGUGAAAUGAACUGCUGUGCCAAGCUGAAAGUUGGUUUGGAGAACUGUGUGAAGAGUUUUGAAAAUGUGACCUAAGUAUUGGGAAAUGUGUCCUAGCAACUGUAAAAAACUGUAAAUGUUCCAUUGGCAAGGAAAGAUGGUUGGACAAGCCCUAUUCAACCUAUAAUAUACACUGUAUCGAAAUCACCAACCAAAACAGCAAAGAAUGGGAAGUUCUUGUAAAAUGUAAGUGUGUGUGUGGGUGUGUGUUUGUGUGUGUGCGUGAUUGGAGUAGUGUGUGUGUGAUAGUUGUACGUGUUAAGCAGUUCAUACCACUAACCUAUGUAAAACAACGAAUAAUAACAAUAUUUAUAAUAACGAAUAAAAUCAUAUUUCUCUUCGUGAUACUAAAUGUAUGGAUUCAAGUCAGUAAUAGGAAUUUAUCUUUGCACAAAGUUACCACAUAAGGAGACCUGUGUUGCCUUCCCCUAAUGUGUUUGCAUCUGUGCUCCUACACUAAAGGGGAUAUAGAUUAUGACACAGUAACAGGUGCCGCCUAACAACGUGUGUAUUGUAUUUCCAAUCCAUCUGCCCACAGAGACUAAUCAUCUAAUUGUAGCUGUACGGCUGGUGCUGUCGUUCCACCCGGCACUAAACUGAAGGGAGGGAGCAUCCCGUAAAAUUGCUCUUGAUUUGGAGAACCGCCGGAUCAAUAGAAAUACCCGUUCUCCGCUCGCACAUUUACGGCCGAGACAUAUUUCGAGAAAGUAUAUCAGGGGUCUGCCACUGUGAAUGAGCCAAGCGUUAUUGCGCUGAUUCAGAUUGAUGCCCCUUGAUUAUUUCACAGUGCAUUAAAGAGUGCUUUCAUUCUAGAUAACGCUGUUCUCUCUUCUAUUGCUCUUAUCCAGCGCCGUCGUUUGUUCAUUAGGCACAGCAGACCUAAUUUGUCAAUGAAUGCAUUGUACUAACCCCAGGUCCUAAAGAGGCCUGGUCGUGGCUUGGCGCUGACAGGCUCCGGCAUCUGAAGUUAUUGAUCCGGUAGACUCAAAUAGCCGUUUGAUCCAUAUCGGACUUGGUUUUCUUAUCAGUGACACACAGGGACACUUGCCAUCCUUGGCGCACCAAUGGAGAUCCCUACUUGGGAAGGUCUUCUAGGAAAUGGCUGUGUGUGAUUUGCAUUUUCAGAGGGAUCCUUUAGCAUGCAAUUAUAAACUGACAUUCACAUGUUUGUGGCGAGUGAGGUGAGUGUUGUGGAGGUACAGGCAGGCAUGUCUCAAUCAAAAUAAAUAAAGUCAAGUUGGAAUAUAUAGUAUAGACAGC